Molecule: transfer RNA, 50 nt
Filed under: Acrolejeunea infuscata
Lineage: Eukaryota; Viridiplantae; Streptophyta; Jungermanniopsida; Porellales; Lejeuneaceae
Also listed under: 3 other names
Description: partial tRNA-Phe
Rfam family: tRNA
About the family: Transfer RNA (tRNA) molecules are approximately 80 nucleotides in length. Their secondary structure includes four short double-helical elements and three loops (D, anti-codon, and T loops).
Source: RNAcentral
UGCCGGGAUAGCUCAGUUGGUAGAGCAGGGGACUGAAAAUCCUCGUGUCA